Molecule: ribosomal RNA, 307 nt
Filed under: uncultured bacterium
Lineage: Bacteria
Description: partial 16S ribosomal RNA
Rfam family: Bacterial small subunit ribosomal RNA
Source: RNAcentral
UACGUAGGGUGCAAGCGUUAAUCGGAAUUACUGGGCGUAAAGCGUGCGCAGGCGGUUAUGCAAGACAGAGGUGAAAUCCCCGGGCUCAACCUGGGAACUGCCUUUGUGACUGCAUAGCUAGAGUACGGUAGAGGGGGAUGGAAUUCCGCGUGUAGCAGUGAAAUGCGUAGAUAUGCGGAGGAACACCGAUGGCGAAGGCGGCUCACUGGCUCAUUACUGACGCUCAGGCGCGAUAGCGUGGGGAUCGAAACCAAGGAGUUAGUAAACCCAUCGAUGAUAGUCCAGACCCAAAGUCUACUGCACCGUA